UAAAUUUUUAAAUAGUACUUAAAUCAGAGAACAACAAAGUAAAUAAGGAAAAAAGGAAAAGAAGAAGGCUCAGAUCUGCCAUUGAAAAAUAAGAUAUUGCAGAAAUCACCCCAUCGACUAUUCGAUGGUUUAUCCGACUACAGUCUAGAGGUUGGAUGUCUUGGAUGCCAGCUGGGACCCAAGGUCCGAGCGUGCAAGGCACGUCCCGAUUCCAUGCUUGCAAUGUUGCCUAACACCUUCCCUCG
This 245-nucleotide long non-coding RNA is filed under the name Elaeis guineensis (African oil palm). Its description in RNAcentral is "long non-coding RNA (EGUI_LNC016715)". The record is from RNAcentral. Lineage: Eukaryota; Viridiplantae; Streptophyta; Magnoliopsida; Arecales; Arecaceae.